CAGUCGAACGGAGUUGUGUUGAAAGCUUGCUGGAUAUACAACUUAGUGCGCUGACGGGUGAGUAACACGUGAGUAACCUGCCUCUCAGAGUGGAAUAACGUUUGGAAACGAACGCUAAUACCGCAUAACGUGAGAAAAGGGCAUCCUCUUUUUACCAAAGAUUUAUCGCUGAGAGAUGGGCUCGCGGCCGAUUAGGUAGUUGGUGAGAUAACAGCCCACCAAGCCGACGAUCGGUAGCCGGACUGAGAGGUUGAUCGGCCACAUUGGGACUGAGACACGGCCCAGACUCCUACGGGAGGCAGCAGUGGGGGAUAUUGCACAAUGGGGGAAACCCUGAUGCAGCGACGCCGCGUGAGGGAAGACGGUUUUCGGAUUGUAAACCUCUGUCUUUAGGGACGAAAAAAUGACGGUACCUAAGGAGGAAGCCACGGCUAACUACGUGCCAGCAGCCGCGGUAAUACGUAGGUGGCAAGCGUUGUCCGGAAUUACUGGGUGUAAAGGGAGCGUAGGCGGGGAGACAAGUUGAAUGUCUAAACUAUCGGCUUAACUGAUAGUCGCGUUCAAAACUAUCACUCUUGAGUGCAGUAGAGGUAGGCGGAAUUCCUAGUGUAGCGGUGAAAUGCGUAGGUAUUAGGAGGAACACCAGUGGCGAAGGCGGCCUACUGGGCUGUAACUGACGCUGAGGCUCGAAAGCGUGGGUAGCAAACAGGAUUAGAUACCCUGGUAGUCCACGCCGUAAACGAUGAUUACUAGGUGUGGGGGGACUGACCCCUUCCGUGCCGGAGUUAACACAAUAAGUAAUCCACCUGGGGAGUACGACCGCAAGGUUGAAACUCAAAGGAAUUGACGGGGGCCCGCACAAGCAGUGGAGUAUGU
Molecule: ribosomal RNA, 876 nt
Filed under: uncultured bacterium
Lineage: Bacteria
Description: bacterial SSU rRNA
Rfam family: Bacterial small subunit ribosomal RNA
Source: RNAcentral